UGGCAGGUCCUGGUCCCAUCUUCUGUGGAUA
RNAcentral lists this non-coding RNA (31 nucleotides) under Mus musculus (house mouse). Lineage: Eukaryota; Metazoa; Chordata; Mammalia; Rodentia; Muridae. The record is from RNAcentral.